GCCAGCGUGGUGUAGUGGUUGAAUGUUGGGCUAUAACUCUGGAGACCAGGAUUCAAUUCCCAGCUCAGCCA
This is a non-coding RNA of Phrynosoma platyrhinos (Desert horned lizard), 71 nucleotides long. The record is from the annotation of a GenBank genome assembly. Lineage: Eukaryota; Metazoa; Chordata; Lepidosauria; Squamata; Phrynosomatidae.